RNAcentral lists this ribosomal RNA (253 nucleotides) under uncultured prokaryote. RNAcentral describes it as "partial 16S ribosomal RNA". It matches the Rfam family "Bacterial small subunit ribosomal RNA", at positions 525 to 777 of the family's 1533-position model. The record is from RNAcentral.
ACGGAGGGUGCGAGCGUUGUCCGGAAUCACUGGGCGUAAAGGGCGCGUAGGUGGCGCGAGAAGUCAACGGUGAAAGCUCGUCGCUUAACGACGAGUCGGCCGUCGAUACUCUUGUGCUCGAGCACUGUAGAGGCAGAUGGAAUUCCGGGUGUAGCGGUGAAAUGCGUAGAGAUCGGGAGGAAGGCCGGUGGCGAAGGCGGCGCUCUGGAACGUACCUGACGCUGAGACACGAAAGCGUGGGGAGCAAACAGGA